GUGAUAUAGUAAGCAAUGAUGACAUCUACAGUGUAAUGUUCAUGAGCAACAAGGAUACAAAUUAUGCCAGCAGCACUCAUCAGCCAGCAGAUUAAGUGAUACCACCAGAAAUGACGUGGUGAAUACUCUUUGAUGAACAGGUAGAUCAGUGUUAGUACUACAGUGUGACCACUGAACAGGAAGUCUCCACACAAGAUGUGAGAUCCAGUUAUGGACAGG
Molecule: long non-coding RNA, 219 nt
Filed under: Gallus gallus (chicken)
Lineage: Eukaryota; Metazoa; Chordata; Aves; Galliformes; Phasianidae
Source: RNAcentral